This 2311-nucleotide long non-coding RNA is filed under the name Androctonus crassicauda. The record is from RNAcentral. Lineage: Eukaryota; Metazoa; Arthropoda; Arachnida; Scorpiones; Buthidae.
GGAAAUUCGCGGAUUCUCCCGUUUGAGAUUUAACAGUUUUUGAAAACAAAUCUAAUUUUAGAGGCGAAAUCCUGUCAAGGCGGCGAAAAUUGAGGAAAUUUGAGGAUAUUGCCGGCACACGCGUUUUAAAUAAAGCAAUUAAAGUAAUUCAUUACUGUUAAGCACAAAAAGUCGAGGGUGAAUUGGGCGGAAGAGGCAGAAAGACGCAUUAUUUGCAGGAACUAGAAGUUUAUUUGGGCAUCCUGUUCCAGCGACCGAGAUGCCCGAUGGCACAGUAAAUCAGCAUGCUGGGGAUCUUUUAGAAGAGAGCCUAAACAAAUUGCGGGCCUAUUACCAGGAUAAUAAUGUUAGUAAACAUGCAGCUGUGGAGAACUUCUCCAAUUAUCCGCAAGUGCAGUCCUAUUAAUAACGACUCCGACUUCUUCAAUAAAGCUGAAAUCUGAUAAAAGAGGAAGAAUCUUAAGAAACGCGCUCUCUCCCCGACUAGAGUGAACUCGACCCGCCCGGCCCGCUAUCUAAUUACAUGGCAAAGCUACAGAUGCGAAAACAUGGCGAGCCAACUUUACUAAUGAGUGGCAUUUUUCCGCGCCAUUCAUCCGCAUACCAAAAUUAAUGUAUCAAUGCACAGGCAUUGACGCCGAUCCACCAAGUCAGUCAUCUACCAACGCGGAGAGGCUUUCUAGAUGACUUGGGUGCUUGCAAACUCCAUCCCCAUAAAUAAAGGCAAUCGGAAGGGUAGGAAUUAUGAAAAGUGCAAUUGGAGCGUUCAUUAUGCAUAGUAUUGGUGUGUCUGAAUGUCCCGAGAUAAGCCGGUCCGACGGUUUCUCUGACGUAAUGAACGCGGAGUGAGUUGCGGAGGAACUGGUCUAGCAAUUUUCCGGCCCACUGCUCCUGCUUUUCUGUCCGGCGAAGAUCUUUAGUCGAGACACACACAAGGAGGACGAAGCUCACAGAAGUGGCUUUCCGCCCCAGUACGGAGACAGGGAUUAAGAUCAACAUCUCUGACUCCAACCGUUCGGUGGACAAAACGGAUGAGUUUGCGCCUCUCCGCUCCAUUAAGUGCAAACCUGUCUGAAUGUGUGUUCUGGACUGAUAGACGAUGUUCUGCGGCCGAACGAUAAACUACUGUAGACUGCAGGGCUCUUCCGGACCACCGAGAUUCGCUUACACUUUUCGCUCGGUCGCUUCGGCAACGGGUUCGAACUCUGACCCCGUCCGUGAGCUUUCUUUCUCAACCCUCCACCUCUCCCUUACUUAACAGGACAAAGACGUCCGGUAAUUGAGACGUCCGUCCCAAGUAACAGAUAGGGACGGUUAUUCUGCACGAUCUCGUCGUAUCUCGCUUACUUCGUGAUUAUUCGGCGUGUUGGAAUGAGAUGGGGAGGAGCCUCGGGCGCGCCAUCUGGGAGGAGGUGAAUGUCCGAAGACCCGACAGCAUCCGAAAGCGACCCGCAGCACACUUAUUCACAAAUUAAAAAAAGUGCCCUCUCGAUAAGCAUCUAGGGAUCCCCAAAGCCCCGUGAUUAACGCUUUAAAGGCGAAUAUUCUCUGCAGCCACCGUUUCGCGUGACAGCACACCGAAUGUAUUUGAAUUAGCUCCUUUGGUGGCCUACUAAUGAUUAAGUUCCAGGGUUAUCUGGGAUUUCGCGUUAAACCGAGAGUCGGGUGGUGAAAAAAACCGAAAAGCAUUUGUUCUAUUGGGCGGCACUUUAACAUUUACAGUACGGGAAGUGACGUCACAAAACGAGUGCCAUCUGGCCAACAUCGUGACGAUAAACAACGCAGUAAUGACGUUAAGAUGGUGGCACUUAACGCCGAAUAGGGGAGUGAAAGAGCGUUCGAGCGACGAUUGGUUCCACCGCUAGGCAUUCCCAUGUCCGACUUACGACUAGUUAGCCUUAAUGGGUCUCACGUUUCUUCAAUCAUGGCGGUCUAUCUGCGAGACAGCUGGCAGUCCCACUUCAAAAGCGGCCGUUACCGUUUUUUUUUCCCCUCUUCUCCACAAACGGCUGAUAUAACAACUUCCAAGAACCAUAUGAAUAGUGGGCCUGAUAUCGACCGAUUUGCACGCGGCUGAUGAUGAAGCCCCGAUCCCGCUCUUUCUCGGUAAAAUCCCUACUGACCCUUUGGUAAAGAUCCAAUCUUCUAUCACUCGCCGCCGACUCCCGAAAUAUUCUCGGCGGUCCCAUCUCGACAAAGCCUGGGGGACACGUGACUACGGGUAUGACAAAUAGGGGUCCGCAAAUAAUUUUUUUGUCCCACAUACUUUUCGAAGGACUCGCUCUGCCGAAAUUUCAAGAAUUUUUGAAAU